RNAcentral lists this long non-coding RNA (647 nucleotides) under Gossypium barbadense (sea-island cotton). RNAcentral's name for it is "long non-coding RNA (GBAR_LNC021365)". The record is from RNAcentral. Lineage: Eukaryota; Viridiplantae; Streptophyta; Magnoliopsida; Malvales; Malvaceae.
AAAAGGGGUACCAAUUACACAAAGAUUUAUGCAUUUGUAUAUUCUUUGGUAGGGAUGUAAUGAGCCGAGUUGAUCCUGACUGGUAGCAAGCUUGAGCUCGAACUCAACUCAAAAUUGAAGGCUCGAUAUUCAGUUUGGGCUCGAUCAAACAUCAAUUUCUAAGCUCAAGCUUGGCUCAAGACUUAAUCAAACGACUUGAGCUCAAGCUCAAUUAAGAUUGUUUAUCAAUUUCAGUACUUAAGCUCGAACAUAUUUAAGCUCUUUGAAUAAAGCAUUAUGAUGCUCAAAUUCGACUUGAUCAAUAGCUCAAGUGAUAAUUACCAAAUUAAAUCAGAUUUUUUUUUCAAACCAAACUCGAGCACCAAUAUCUCAUUUUCACACUACUCUCCAAUAUUUUACAUGCAAAGCAUACUCAAAACAGCAAUUGAAGCAUAAAUCAUCAGACCAGAACAUCAAAAGAUAGCCACAAGAACAUGUUGGGUUACCAUUAACAUAACAGAAUCUUAAAGGUAAAAUUUUUAGUGAUAAUCAUGAAGAAACCAUUAACAUGACAUUCAUCUUAAAACCAGAACACCAAAAGAUAGCCACAAGAACAUGUUUUACAGCUACCCAAAACUUUAAAUAGAUUAAAAACCCAUAAAUUCCUC